RNAcentral lists this long non-coding RNA (1639 nucleotides) under Homo sapiens (human). RNAcentral describes it as "long non-coding RNA NONHSAT024894.2". Lineage: Eukaryota; Metazoa; Chordata; Mammalia; Primates; Hominidae. The record is from RNAcentral.
GAGCGCGGGAGACCGGACCCGAGAGCAGAGCUGCUGUUUCGGCGCGGGUCGGCUGGCGGCCGACUGCCCCAGAGCCCCCACCCGGCACCACACAGACCCCACCCCCGCCCUGCGCCAGCCUUCGUCCCCGCAGAGGACCCCCCGACACCAGCAUGGACUGCUGCACCGAGAACGCCUGCUCCAAGCCGGACGACGACAUUCUAGACAUCCCGCUGGACGAUCCCGGCGCCAACGCGGCCGCCGCCAAAAUCCAGGCGAGUUUUCGGGGCCACAUGGCGCGGAAGAAGAUAAAGAGCGGAGAGCGCGGCCGGAAGGGCCCGGGCCCUGGGGGGCCUGGCGGAGCUGGGGUGGCCCGGGGAGGCGCGGGCGGCGGCCCCAGCGGAGACUAGGCCAGAAGAACUGAGCAUUUUCAAAGGUAAUGAACACGGCCCCUAGGCGGCGGGGUGGGACCCGUGAGUGGGAGAAAAGGAUCGAAUCCCCAGCCCUUCCCUCUGCCCACCCUCACCCCUCCCAGCCGGGGAAAAUGCACCCUGCCCCUGCGGGUUUUCUGAUACAUCCAGACGCCCGAGGCUGCGACGGGGACAUACCUGGACCAAGACAUGCGCAGCCACCCCAUUUGGCUGCACAAGCCCGGCCAAGGGGCAGAAAUACAUCGCGGCGCGCACACGUACCUGCCGCGGGGCUCAUUUCAGCGCUUUGACUCGGGGUGGGGGUUCUGGGUGACUGGGGCCCUCUGGCACUCACCGCCCAAAGAAUCCUGGUACUGAAAGGGGGAAGGGUGGGGGGAAGAGGAAGUAGCAGAAGAGGGCAGGUUCUCAGACCUUUUCUCUCCUCAGUUCCCGAGGAGAGAUGGAUGCCGCGUCCCCUUCGCAGCGACGAGACUUCCCUGCCGUGUUUGUGACCCCCUCCUGCCCAGCAACCUGCCAGCUACAGGAGCCCCCUGCGUCCCAGAGACUCCCUCACCCAGGCAGGCUCCGUCGCGGAGUCGCUGAGUCCGUGCCCUUUUAGUUAGUUCUGCAGUCUAGUAUGGUCCCCAUUUGCCCUUCCACUCCACCCCACCCUAAACCAUGCGCUCCCAAUCUUCCUUCUUUUGCUUCUCGCCCACCUCUUCCCGCACCCAGCAUGCAGCUCUGCCUCCGCAGCCUCAGUGCGCUUUCCUGCGCGCACUGCGGAGGGCGCCCUAAGCGUCACCCAAGCACACUCACUUAAAGAAAAAACGAGUUCUUUCGUUCUGUGCGCAGCUAAAAGGGGCGCCCUACAUCUCCGUGCCACUCCCGCCCCAGCCUAGCCCCAAGACUUUGGAUCCGGGGCGAGAUGAAGGGAAGAGGGUUGUUUUGGUUUCGGACGACCCUUGCUCUGACCGGAAGAGAAGUCCCUAUCCCACACCUGCCUGUCACGUUCCCUCCCCUUUCCCCAGCGCACUGUUGAGGGCAGCCUCUCCAGCUCUCUUGUUUAUGCAAACGCCGAGCGCCUGGGAGGCUCGGUAGGAGGAGUCUUCCACGGCCCCGCCCCGCCCCUGUCGGUCCCGCCCUCCCCCCCGCCGGGCUCCUGGGGCUGUGGCCGAAAGGUUUCUGAUCUCCGUGUGUGCAUGUGACUGUGCUGGGUUGGAAUGUGAACAAUAAAGAGGAAUGUCCAAGUG